RNAcentral lists this ribosomal RNA (253 nucleotides) under uncultured bacterium. RNAcentral's name for it is "partial 16S ribosomal RNA". It matches the Rfam family "Bacterial small subunit ribosomal RNA", at positions 524 to 776 of the family's 1533-position model. The record is from RNAcentral.
UACGGAGGGUGCGAGCGUUGUCCGGAAUCACUGGGCGUAAAGGGCGCGUAGGCGGCCUGAUAAGUAGGGGGUGAAAUCCUGAGGCUUAACCUCAGGGCUGCCUUCUAAACUGUCAGGCUCGAGCACAGUAGAGGCAGGUGGAAUUCCGGGUGUAGCGGUGGAAUGCGUAGAGAUCCGGAAGAACACCGGUGGCGAAGGCGGCCUGCUGGGCAGUAGCUGACGCUGAGGCGCGACAGCGUGGGGAGCAAACAGG